GAUUUCUGGUACGGCGCGCUUGGCCCGCCAGGGUUACCUGGUUGUGUGCUGGUGCGCGCCUGCCAUCCUUUUGCAUAUCAGUUCUAUCCUUUACUGGUGUGAACUGGUGUGUAAAUCAUUUACUUUGAAAAAAUUAGAGUGUUUAAAGCAGGCUUUUUGCUAUGAAUACAUUAGCAUGGAAUAAUAAUUUAGGACUUUGGCCCUAUUUUGUUGGUUUCUAGGACUGAAGUAAUGAUUGAUAGGGAUAGUUGGGGGUGCUCGAAUUCAGCGGCCAGAGGUGAAAUUCUUGGAUUCGCUGAAGACGAACUCAUGCGAAAGCAUU
Molecule: ribosomal RNA, 322 nt
Filed under: uncultured Cercomonas
Lineage: Eukaryota; Cercozoa; Cercomonadida; Cercomonadidae
Description: SSU rRNA
Rfam family: Eukaryotic small subunit ribosomal RNA (bases 60-322)
Source: RNAcentral